Molecule: long non-coding RNA, 753 nt
Filed under: Brassica rapa (field mustard)
Lineage: Eukaryota; Viridiplantae; Streptophyta; Magnoliopsida; Brassicales; Brassicaceae
Description: long non-coding RNA (BRAP_LNC006073)
Source: RNAcentral
GGCCUAUGCCUAAGUUCCCUCCUUUUAAGGGAUUUGAUCAUCCUUUCCCUUUACCUCCACCUUUGGAGCUUCCACCGUUUCCUAAACCAUGCCCACCACCUCCGGUUCCGGUGUACGAGCCACCCCCAAAGGUGGAACUUCCACCACCUGUCCCGGUUCACGAGCCACCCCCAAAGGUAGAGGUUCCACCACCCGUCCCGGUUCACGACCCACCGCCAAAGGUGGAGCACCCACCUCCGGUUCCGGUUUACAAGCCACCUCCAAAGGUAGAGCACCCACCUCCAGUUCCGGUUUACAAGCCGCCUCCAAAGGUAGAGCACCCACCUCCGGUUCCGGUUUACAAGCCACCUCCAAAGGUAGAGCACCCACCUCCGGUUCCAGUACACAAGCCACCAACAAUCCCUAAGAAGCCAUGCCCGCCUAAGUCGCCGAAGAUUGAGCUUCCACCGCCAGUGCCAGUUCACAAACCACCGACUAAGAAGCCUUGUCCGCCCAUGCCACCAAAGAAAGUUGAUCCGCCACCGGUUCCAGUCCACAAGCCGCCGCCGAAAAUAGUCCUUCCACCGCCGGUACCAAUCCACAAGCCGCCAAAGAAGCCGUGCCCGCCUAAACCGCCAAAGGUCGAGCUUCCACCACCAGUACCGGUCUACAAGCCACCACCGAAGAUAGAGCAUCCACCAAUCUAUGUGCCACCGGUGAUCCCGAAGAAGCCGUGCCCUCCCAAAGCGCCGAAGAUCGAUCCACCACCGGUUC